GUGGAGUGAAAAGUAUCUUAAUGUUUUUGAAGAAGCGCAAAAGAAAAAUCAAUUUCUUUUAGUAAAAGUAGAGGGAGUAGGUACAUGGAUAGAAGACCUGUCACCCCCCUGAUACUCAUACAGCUCAGAAAGCAAUAUGCACAACAGGAAACAAAGAGACAGAGGCUGAUUAGGUAAGUAUACACCAUAAAAUUAAGAGUGUGAGUUAUCUGAGAUAAAAUUGCAUAAGCUAAGCAAAAGCUUAGCUGUAAUAACAUAUGCAAUGGAUCCUGAAUUGUAUGCCUAAAGAUGCA
Molecule: non-coding RNA, 293 nt
Organism: Pelobates cultripes (western spadefoot toad)
Lineage: Eukaryota; Metazoa; Chordata; Amphibia; Anura; Pelobatidae
Source: the annotation of a GenBank genome assembly